AGUUAAAUCAUGGUAGCUGUAUACUGUAAACACCGACGGGUGCCUUUUCGCUCUGCGUCUCACUAUACCUAUGGUAUAUGUUUUGCCGUCAUUGAAUCAGCGUUGCAGCGAUGCCAACGACGACGUCGCCGGCAUUUGCAAGUUUAUUAGAGAGUCUCGGGCGCCUAGCUCGAACGCGAGGGAGGCUGCAGCUAUUCCAUCGCCACACGGCUGCAAAGCAGUAAAACAGGCAAGCAAGCAACGCAGCCGCGACAGUCUAGUUUACUAAAACAUCGGCCUGGCGCGCCUGUCGUGUACCGCCCCGAGGAAAGACGCUACUGAAUCUUGGACGGCAAACGCGCAGCGUGUCCGCCAAGUCGCAAGAAACGCCGCCGAGAUCUGGCUUUGCUUAUAAUACGACUCGAGAUUGAUAAUGAGCCCAUCAACACCGCCUACACACAUGUUCGCAAGCUGAUGCUGCACCUAAAGCGCUGCAGCACAACGAUAUUGCGAUUCGAGUAGAGGUAUAAGCGUUACGCAGAGAGAAGGGAGCGGCUCUAAUGGACCUUUGAGCUUACCGGCGUGGGUCAGCAGCCCGUCGGGUAUUGCGCGCGCCGCAGUCGAUUGCAAGUCGUUUCGCGAAAAUUAUUUUCCUUCGAUAUAAUAUCGCGCGGCCACCGCCACUGGGGAAUUCCUCCGCGGGAAUUGCGGAGCAUCGGGUUUUAUCGUUGAUGACUUCUGCUCAUUUUGUCGUUUUAUCCCGUAUACUUGCGAUUGAUGAUGUUAUAAAAGCUUUGGUUAACGCAUAUAAAUAGUAAUUAUUCAACUGAUGAAAAUUAAUUAGACGAUACGUCGGAUUUGAAGAGCACUUCCUCAUCCGCGAAGAGAAAACUUCUGAUCGAAACCUUAAGAAAUCACUUAAAACCAUAAGAGAACGCCCAAGUAAUAACACAUGCCUCACGAGCGUCUGUAGAUCCAUCCGAAAUCGUGGUAGCUACUCAUAUUCGGCGACGAACGCGCGCCUCUCGAAAAAGAGAUCGAGCGAAGGCAGGAUGUCGCCUUGACUGUCUCCCCCGACUUCUCUCUUCGUCCUUUUUUCUUUCUGCUCUCCGUUCUUCCACUGCAGCGUCUUUCGCGUGUCUGGCAGAAGCCGGAAGACGCUUCGCGGAAGGGCAGAGACUUGCUUUUUUAGCGGGGAACCGGCCAGACGGUGCAGGCUUUACCUUUUUCCCCCUCUUUUUUAGGGACUCGUUAGAGGCUCAAUCAGAUGCAGCAAAAUUCUGGACUUUGCCUGGCUAUUAGGGACUUGCGCUUGAUUGCUCUCGUUAAAUACCUGUCAUUGACUGAGUUAUUAUGUUUCGAGCGUAAAGGUAAUUACGAAGGAAAUCGCGUUCAUGCUAUACAAAGUUAUCUAUUAAAAGUCCCUCUGUUAUUUUUACGUGCAGAAAUUUUAAAUAAAUUUCUCCUUGAAAUGUCCCAACUCCAGCGCGCGAAAAAGGUGAAAAAUUGCGCGACUUGUUGCUCGCGCCUUCUAAUUCAGUCUGCGAGGAUAAAGGGGAGCCUCUGUCCACGCGAGUUAAUCUCGAUUCUGUUUAUAUACACGGCGUGUUUACACGCGAAAUCCCUGAGCAUUCUUGCGCGCGUAGAAAACUAAUGGAAGCCGCGGGUAGGCGUUUUUCCAUUCGCGAGGUCUAAAUUUACGCCGCGAAUAUCAAUGGGCGUGCGUGUGCGCGGGCAAAGUGCUUUAGCCCUUUGACGCCGGAGUUUCUGCAUAUUGCGUCGACUCGCCUUUUCUGAUUUAUGCAAAUUUGAGUAUUAAAUGUAGAAGACCGCGAGUACGCGAAUUAUUUUCAUCAAGCCCAAGUUCUUACUGAUUCUUUGUUACAAUAAUUAAAAUGUUUUCACAUAAAGGGUAAGCAUAUGCAAGGUAGAGUAACCACUCGAAAAUAAACACAGUCGGAAAAGCAAUAAAGCUCAUCCGAAAGCAUCCUCAAAUUAGUCACCCCUCUCCCUCUUUUCCACAAAGCUUCUCGACUCUCCCUUUCGCUCCAUAAACAUCGAAAAACAACAUCCUCGGCGCGACACACGCCCGUUUUCCAGUAGCUCUCGACUUUCCGCCGCCGCUCGUGUGUCGGCGACACGCGCCGAUUUUCGUUUCCGUCUUCCGCUAGCUUUCCUCCUCCGCCUUCUCUCUUUCGGAAUUGUAUUACGGGGGCCGAUUCGGCCGCUCAGCGUGAAACCUUCGACGAAGGAUGCGCGCACUCGACGAGUCGCUCGCUUGCUCGAAUUUCGGAAGCCGGCCGACGCUGCUCUAAAAGUGGCGGCGAGCCACUUGGACCAAAGAAAAACACACCCGCCUCUGCGAGAGAUGGCUAUCGAUCUCUCUCGUGUGUGGACUGAUUUCCAAGCUUUUUUUCCGACUGAGACACGUGGGAGUGCAUUGGAGGAACGUGGCGAGGAUUAGGAGAUGAAGGAGCAAUGAGAAAUAGAGUAUUGAAUACUUGUGAUUUGUCGAUUGGUCAUGAUUCCUUCUUUAUACGAAUUCAGUAAAACGAAGUAAGUUGGA
Long non-coding RNA from Nasonia vitripennis (jewel wasp), 2545 nucleotides. RefSeq lists it as uncharacterized. Lineage: Eukaryota; Metazoa; Arthropoda; Insecta; Hymenoptera; Pteromalidae. The record is from RefSeq and is a predicted model, not a curated record. The transcript has 2 exons.